Molecule: ribosomal RNA, 576 nt
Filed under: uncultured bacterium
Lineage: Bacteria
Description: bacterial SSU rRNA
Rfam family: Bacterial small subunit ribosomal RNA
Source: RNAcentral
CCUACGGGAGGCAGCAGUGAGGAAUAUUGGACAAUGGGCGCAAGCCUGAUCCAGCCAUGCCGCGUGCAGGAAGAAGCAUCUAUGGUGUGUAAACUGCUUUUGUACAGGAAGAAACACUCCCUCGUGAGGGAGCUUGACGGUACUGUAAGAAUAAGGACCGGCUAACUCCGUGCCAGCAGCCGCGGUAAUACGGAGGGUCCGAGCGUUAUCCGGAAUCAUUGGGUUUAAAGGGUCCGUAGGCGGUUUAAUAAGUCAGUGGUGAAAUCUGGUCGCUCAACGAUCAAACGGCCAUUGAUACUGUUAGACUUGAAUUAUAAGGAAGUAACUAGAAUAUGUAGUGUAGCGGUGAAAUGCUUAGAUAUUACAUGGAAUACCAAUUGCGAAGGCAGGUUACUACUUAUGGAUUGACGCUGAUGGACGAAAGCGUGGGGAGCGAACAGGAUUAGAUACCCUGGUAGUCCACGCCGUAAACGAUGGAUACUAGCUGUUCGGAGCAAUCUGAGUGGCUAAGCGAAAGUGAUAAGUAUCCCACCUGGGGAGUACGUUCGCAAGAAUGAAACUCAAAGGAAUUGACGG